Molecule: unclassified non-coding RNA, 343 nt
Filed under: uncultured fungus
Lineage: Eukaryota; Fungi
Description: partial contains small subunit ribosomal RNA, internal transcribed spacer 1, and 5.8S ribosomal RNA
Rfam family: Eukaryotic small subunit ribosomal RNA (bases 1-73)
Source: RNAcentral
GCAAACUUGGUCAUUUAGAGGAAGUAAAAGUCGUAACAAGGUUUCCGUAGGUGAACCUGCGGAAGGAUCAUUAUCGAAAUGGACAGAGGGACCGUCGCCCGGCCCGCGCAAGCUUCUCGCUUGAUGCGGCCGUUAAAGGGAGGCGCCCUCGAACCAAACCCAUCCAACCCAUGUGAACUAUGCGGGAGCUGGGGAAAGGGCCUUCAAGGACUUUGACCCCUCCUGACCAAUACAAACUCUUUUGACUUAUCGAAUGCAGAACAGUCUGUUUGGACUGCUAUGAGAAACAUAAACAACUUUCAACAACGGAUCUCUUGGCUCUCGCAUCGAUGAAGAACGCAGC